CUAUCGACGUCCUUUGGUACCAUCACAAAGUCCUCUUUGUCAAACAAAAGAUACAUAUUAUGAACAUAACAAACAUUAACAAUAGUCUGUUUUGAUGAAAACGAAGCAAGCAGGAAAGCAAUCAAUCCUUUCAAUGCAGUGAAAAUGCCAGAAAAAAAUAAAGAUUCAACCAGAACAUUUAGUCAAAGGGUGAAUUUUGGAAAUGAGAGCAUCCAUCUUUUUUUUUCCACUUGGCUUUGAACACGUCAGAGCCAAAGGACGCAGCGUCGUGUGGUGUGAGAGAGGAGGAGGACUUUUGAAGCUUCAAACUAUUUGGAAGCCUGCAGCCCUAAUUACGGUGUCACCACAAAUGGAGGCAUGUGAGGCCGCUGCCUUUCCUUCAGAGAUCUGCACAUCCCCGGGAGUCAUUAUACGCGCUUCAUAAUAAACUGACCAUUAGGCCCGGCACUGGCGAUGUAUCAUUAUAUAUUUAUGGACACAGUCUAGUCGUGAAGGAAUGAAAUGAAGUCCACCAUUCACACUCAUUACAUGCUUCAUGGUAAAUAAGACCACACUUUUAACUUCUGAAACUUAUUCUUGCGUAUUUGGGACAACUACCGCAUCUGCAGAGUCGAAUAUGGGUUUAUUAUAGAAAACAAUAACUUCAUUCAUGAUAGUGAGACAAUGCAGAACUCUAUUGUCCUUUGUGGAAUGCAUUAAAGGGGAACAUUCAUAUUUGCGGUGGAACGAUGGGUUUUCCUUUUUUUUUUAAACCAAGCCUCAUGUUUCCUCGAUAGUCUCAUUGACAUUCAACUACUAGACGUUCACACGAAAGCACAAACAAGAAACAUCAAAAGCGCCAUAAGGGAGAGACAGGAAGAAGGCUGAAAGCAAACUGCUAAUGGCAUCAACUAAUGGACACAAGAACAUUCAGUGUUCAAAUAGUCAUUCCUCUUGUUUUUUUUUAAACAGUGCAUUCUCAAUGCAAUCAUCUGCUGUCUCUGUAGCUCACACCAAGAUGUGGGGGCAAAAGGAAAAGCACAUGUUGUGUGUUCUGGAGAUGAUCAGUUCAUAUCAAAUAGCUGUUUGCUAUAUACUCUAUACUCUAUAAAGAACGUCAACACAACGUGAUUGUGACACUGCAUUUGAGAUUUUUAAAAGAAGAUGGGCUUAAAUGUAUACGUGAAAUAUCCCCAUGAUUGACUGUACCUCUUUCCUAACCGGGACCCGUUAGCUAUCAUUGGCCUAAGCCAAACGCUUGAUUAAUACAGGAACGUGACUUUGAUAAGAGUAAGUAGUGAUCAAUACUCUUUUUAUUUUGAUGGAGCUUUUAUUGCUUAUUUUGAAGUCCAGAACUUGGGUCCCGGAUGUGAACAUCCCAAAAAAACUGUGUUUACGACAACGAUGAAGAUCUUCCCCAGUUGGAACCAGGAUAGCGCGCAGCUAAUUCACCGGCCUUUGCGUCCAUUUACCAACUCUAGUAAAGACAAUGCUAACUUUCACAAUUAAACCAGUAUUUAGGCAGAGGUUUAACCCCAUUAAAUCAGCUGACGUUAAUAAAUAGCACUUCAUGUGAAAGGAUCACAUGAUGGAGUUGGUCUUAACAAUAACUUGUUUCACAUCAGCCAUGGGCAAGGCACCAAGGAUGCAACACAUGUAGGAAAUCAACUGUUGGAAAUGGGAAAAUACAGGAGAUGGAAAUGUCCCAGCUGGAGGUGAGGUUUGUGAAUGCAUCACCGGCUCGCUUGCUGAUACUGCUGAUAUUUCCCUCUUGUCUCCCUACAGGGAACCCUCAUGUUCAGUUUUGGGGCAAAUUCGAGGAGACGUUGAGGGGUAAUGGACAGGAAUGUGUUCGUGGAGCAGAUGUAAACUGUCCUCAUCGAAAAACGUAAUUUCACCUUUUCAACGGUUUUAAACACAAUCACAACAUCAACUGACUGCAGCAGCGGGAUGGAGAGACGGGGGCAGAAACCUCGCCGCGGCACCACGUGUGUCCCUGUGUCGGAGGGAUGAAUGGGCCUCGCUGCAGAGACGUUCCAUUUACGUUGGUGAUGUCUGGAAAUUCAUCUCUUACCGUCGGGCCUUUUUGCAACCUUUCCACACUGGCGUCAUUUGCAUAUAUCGUGACAAAUAAAUUAGGAAACGGCGCCAUGCACAUGGUUUCUUUCUGAGGGAGACAGCGUUUCCAUUCCGGCACACAAAACCUGCUGGGGCAUUUCUGUGUCCAUCAAAAGGACAUUUAGACUGGUGGGAAAUAGGACGGUAGGCAAAACCUAGCGAUACAUUUUUUUUUUUUCAUUUAAAAAGGAGCAGUCCAUUAUGCAGAGAAUAAUCAGGAGCACGCUGAGUCUAUGAUUAAAUUUGCUCGGUGCAGGACAAAUGACGUGGAGGAAAGGGCUCUAGUCCAUUCUGAGUCAUGUAGGCCAUCGAUCAAAUAGUCUGUGUGGAGAAAUGUAAAUGAGUCGUACUGUACGUGGAUUGUAUUAAAUGUACAGUGCAAAUAGGUGAGCAGGGUAAAGGCCAUUACGAGGAUGUUGUUUAAAAAUGACUCUUAAUUAAACUUGAUGCAAUGUCAUGUCCUCAUUUAUUUAUUCUGUUUGUUGGGUAAAUAUCCUACAUUAUUAUUAUGGCAGGUGAUAUUUUUGUUCAAACAAGUUCACUGGGCCUGGUGAUGAGAAAUCCAUCUCACAAGUUUGCACUUAUCAGCUCACUGAACGCUGCACGUAUUGUUCUAUUGUACGUGCGCCUAUGAACGGUAUCUUGGAAAAAAUGAAUGUCAGUAAAAAUGUUCCAGCUGUCUUUCAAAAGCGGGAUUAUCUUCGACCGGUUCUAUACGAAUGCGGAUGGCGACAAACGCGAGAAUUCAGUGGCUGCAGCGACGUCUUUUUUCCUCUUUUUUCACUCACACGUCUGCCGGCCUUUUUAAACAUUAGCAUGAAAGCAGAAGCGCAUUUACAUACAAUGACAGGUGUCCUGCACCUGCCCGGGCCUGGUGUCCCUGUGGCGUCUUACGGCUCAGCUGUGACACCUUUAUUUUUCUUCUUAACAAGGCCUUGGGCCAUCUGAGAUCCGUGGAUUUGGUCAAUAAAGCACCUCCAAACACCGCGCAGCUGUGUGUUCUGAUGCCACAAACUGUGUUUGAUGUUAUCGAGCUAUGACUUUUGCGAAAUGGUGCAGCUCUUAUUUUGGCUUAAUGACCCGGUAUCUUCCUGUCGCAGAAAUUUACAUAUUAUUUACUUAUUUACAGCUGAAUUCACGGCUGUGACUUAAAAGCAAACUGAACUUGGACACAGUCGUGUGCGCCUGUGGCCAUGAAUUGGAUCACAGUUCACAAAGAAAGCCCCAUGAGGGGUCAGCAUCGCACCGACACGCCUCACCCAGACAUGCUAAUGGCAGUUUUCCAUUGGAUUACUGUACAAACAACAAACAUAUACAAUAAACCUCACAAUUGAACACCACUUUUAUGAUUUUUGAGAAGUAAGAAGCCAAAGGGUCUAAAUCACAUACGUUCUUAUCGAAAGCCACGAUGGUUUAUUUAGUGUUUGAAUUAGCAUGGUGGCGAUUCGAGGGCUACGAGGUACACGGCGCUCCAGUGUUAAAGUGAAGUCCUUCACCACGUAAUAGUAAAGUAUUAAGAUUUCAUCGAUGCGAGUCAAGCCAACUGGCCACCACACACUCUGCACACACACAUCCAUCAGGCUGACAUCGUUAACUAAAGGACUCACAAAAGUACACAAUGUGGACUGCAGCAGAAAACACGCUGCACACACGCCUCUCUCACGCGACUCACAUGCCGCCCUGGUGUCCAAGGAGAGGACACCCGGGGGUCCAGCUGAGCCCUCAAAACACGAGAGGAGCUCGCUCUUCGCUGCUCUGACAUCAUCUCUCUGUCUCACUAUUUAUAUCUGUGAAUAAAUGUUUUGCAUUAUGAUUAAUGAAAAAAUGAGGGCCUUUAAAAAAUAUAUUUUAGUGACGACUAAUGGUCUCAUUAUUAUUUUCCAAUGAGAGAAUUCUUUUAAUUCUGUAUUUAGAAUUACUAGAUAUUUAAUGACGUUGUGAAGAAAACGAAAUCUUCAAGUCAUCCUCUACUGUUUUUUGUGUGGUUUAAGGUAACCGCCACUCACUGAGCUGACGUCAGACAAGAAUGAGGACUUGAAGAUGUCCCGUGUUUAGCCGGAUCGGGAGAUCUCUCGAGCGAGACUGGACAGUUAACUGGGGAAGCCGGUCUUUCUGAGGGAAACAUAUGUAUGUAUUUUUUGCAUUUCCUAUGUUGAUUUACCUUGUCUUGUUUUUGUCAAGAAUAAAAUCCUGUACGACAACGUACAGAAUUUAUUUUAUGAAUGUCUUACACUCUUAACCGCAGACCUUUCUUCUGGCAUCCAACCAUGAACCUUUCCACCAAUGCCAUUUCCUGCGUCCUCCCCAUGGGGGGUGAGUGCAGUGAUGGUAGCGUGUAGGACACUCAUCCAUCAGACACAGCGUCAACCAGGUGCCCCCUUCCCUCCAUAUCUGUCCCCUUCCCUUCAUCCGCACUUCACUCUGAUUCCGCCUCCACUGCAGUAUUGCCUUUCAACAAGCUGCGUGAUUAAGGGAGGUGAGGCAUUAGCGGUCAUCUUAUUGCCAGAUAAAACGAUUUUAAUUAAGAUGUUUGUGUACAGUUUCGAUUAAGCAGGUCUGGUUAAUUAAACUCUAGGUUAUUUUAAGCAGCUAAUUAAAUCCAAUUUCAACAGAGGCAGGAUAUAGUUGGGCAGCGAUAAGAAUUGGCAAUAUCAUUAUUUACAAAGUUGAAUGUUUACUUCAUUAAAAUGACAUCUGGGAGGUUCAAAUGGUAAUCCCAACACAAACAGGAGGAUUGGUGUUCUGCAAAUACACAUCAUGGCUUUUCCAACAUUAAACCACUAUUGGGGAACAAAGGCCUGCGUAAACCUCAUACAUCCCAACUCAUACAUCCCAACAACUAUCGAUAACAACGAGUGUGUGUUUUCAUUGAGGACCAUUCUGUAGAUGAAGGGAUUCAUUCUAAAAACACUUUUCAUAAUGCAUCCCCCCUCUCCGGCCCCUAGUAGCAGGGGAAGCUCAGGUUGAGGAGGAGUUUCUUGCAGUGUGCUGUAAUUUGUUGAUCCUUUUGCCAGCGUAGAGGACUCAUCAGAGCCGAUAUAAGGUUUCUCUAGACGACGGUAGUGAUUCCAGCGGACUCGAUGCGACGCCUCCCUGUGUUCCAAUUCAAUUUAAAUAUCCGCAUGGAAACAAAAUCACAGAUUUGCAUCAGAGAGCUUCUGUCCCGUAUGUGACAUCCUCUGUACCUGGACCAUCGAAUCCAUACGGGUAAAACUCCAAAGAAAAAAAAGCAUUUAAAUGCGAGGAUACAAUGGCAGUAGUAGCUCCAAUAAUAGCAGAAUAAUGGAAACAUGAUGAAUACUAAUAACAGCAGUGGAGAAAACAGAAUUAAUCUAUGGCCAAUGGGAUAAGGGUGGUUGACCCAAUAACUGUGGAAAGUCCUAAAAAUAACUUGUUAUGUCCCCGUUCCAGUAACUCAUAGACCCGGGAGUUAGCGCUGCCUUUUUGGGUAACUAAUUAAAAACACAUUUCCAUCAGAUGGAAGCAAAAUUAGUUUGUUUUAUUCUCUUCAAAAUUAAUUAAAAGAAAUGUAUUAACAUUUUUCUUAUCUUAGUUGGCUUGUUUGACGUUAAUUAAACUUAUGCAAGAGUAAAACAGGCUACGUUAGUAAAUUAAUACACAUUGUUCCAUUUUUAUUCAGAAAGGGUUUGCUAGUAUGUUUGCACAUUGGUGUGUGACAAUAAACACUAGAGCAAAUAUACCAUUAAAAACUAAAAUAGUUUAUAAUAGAAUAUGACAAAACAAACUAUUUCAGACUGUAUCGAAAUAAGUCUGAUUAAGUAUCAAUAGUAUUGAAAGUUGAGAAGGGACCAAGAGCCUCAGUCCAUGGGGCCAAAUUAUUUGUAUUAUUUGAGAAUAUCUUAUUUGUUGUCAAUCAAGAAGAAUGUAAGAUUUGUGAAGAAGAAAUCUGGCACUUUGUCUAAAGACCCGAGCCACUUUGUUAUAUAUUAAGUUAUGUGUAGUUAGGUACAAUCACAGAUUUUAGUCCUAAUUGCUUUCAACCCCCCUCGAUGUCUUGAUAUGUUCACUUUUUCACCUGACUCACUCUUUUCCUCCCGUUGUUCCUCCUGAAAUUUAAAACCUGCACCAGGAUUAAUGUUGUGAGAUUUUCCUCUUCGGCCCUGAACAAAUCAUGUGUGACAAAAACGGCAAAAAGAGGAUACAUUUUGACAUUUCAUCAGAAAUAUUUCAUCAUACAUUUCUCUUGUGAACUCUCGCCCCCAAUAAAUAUUUUUCUUUAACCAGAUUGAGUAAAAAACAUUAAAUUCUGAGUAUUUCAACGCAAGGAAGCCAUGACUCCCGAGAUCAACAGUCACGUGAAAAAUAGUUCUGUGAAACUUUGACUGAAGCGCAGACUGCUGAACACAGUGAGGAGAAGCUGUAAAAAGACAAAUAGUUCAACAUAUGAAGGCGUAAUUUAUUCAUUAAAUGAUCAGAAAAUUCAACCUGCAUUUUUUCAUUUGAAGGAUUUAAGGCAUUGCAACUGUUUAAUACUGAGUUCUCUCUGCUUUCUAGCCAUGAUUUUGUUGUUACCAUAGCAAUGCAGUUAACUUAAAUACUGCAGUGAAAAUCAAGGCCGCAGAGUAAAAUGCGAGAGGAGCAGUGGCGGCUGGCCAACCAGUUACAGUAAACAGCAUGAUUCCGUACAAAAAACGGUAUCAAACACGCAUUAUUAAUUUGCAGUUAAAU
Long non-coding RNA from Gasterosteus aculeatus aculeatus (three-spined stickleback), 6786 nucleotides. NCBI's taxonomy places the organism in Eukaryota, Metazoa, Chordata, Actinopteri, Perciformes, Gasterosteidae. The record is from Ensembl.